This 253-nucleotide ribosomal RNA is filed under the name uncultured bacterium. Its description in RNAcentral is "partial 16S ribosomal RNA". It matches the Rfam family "Bacterial small subunit ribosomal RNA", at positions 524 to 776 of the family's 1533-position model. The record is from RNAcentral.
UACAGAGGGUGCGAGCGUUGUCCGGAAUCACUGGGCGUAAAGGGCGCGUAGGCGGCCCCUUAAGCGUGCGGUGAAAGCCCGGGGCUCAACCCCGGGUCGGCCGUGCGGACUGGGGGGCUGGAGCCGAUCAGAGGCAGGCGGAAUUCCGGGUGUAGCGGUGGAAUGCGUAGAGAUCCGGAAGAACACCGGUGGCGAAGGCGGGUCUCUGGGCAGUAACUGACGCUGAGGAGCGAAAGCGUGGGGAGCGAACAGG